UACGAAGGGGGCUAGCGUUGCUCGGAAUCACUGGGCGUAAAGCGCACGUAGGCGGAUCUUUAAGUCAGGGGUGAAAUCCCAAGGCUCAACCUUGGAACUGCCUUUGAUACUGGGGAUCUCGAGUCCGGAAGAGGUAAGUGGAACUGCGAGUGUAGAGGUGAAAUUCGUAGAUAUUCGCAAGAACACCAGUGGCGAAGGCGGCUUACUGGUCCGGUUCUGACGCUGAGGCGCGAAAGCGUGGGGAGCAAACAGG
RNAcentral lists this ribosomal RNA (253 nucleotides) under uncultured bacterium. RNAcentral describes it as "partial 16S ribosomal RNA". It matches the Rfam family "Bacterial small subunit ribosomal RNA", at positions 524 to 776 of the family's 1533-position model. The record is from RNAcentral.